UGGGUUUAAAGGGAGCGUAGGCCGGAGAUUAAGCGUGUUGUGAAAUGUAGAUGCUCAACAUCUGCACUGCAGCGCGAACUGGUUUCCUUGAGUACGCACAAAGUGGGCGGAAUUCGUGGUGUAGCGGUGAAAUGCUUAGAUAUCACGAAGAACUCCGAUUGCGAAGGCAGCUCACUGGAGCGCAACUGACGCUGAAGCUCGAAAGUGCGGGUAUCGAACAGGAUUAGAUACCCUGGUAGUCCGCACGGUAAACGAUGGAUGCCCGCUGUUGGUCUGAAUAGGUCAGCGGCCAAGCGAAAGCAUUAAGCAUCCCACCUGGGGAGUACGCCGGCAACGGUGAAACUCAAAGGAAUAGACGGGGGCCCGCACAAGCGGAGGAACAUGUGGUUUAAUUCGAUGAUACGCGAGGAACCUUACCCGGGCUUGAAUUGCAGAGGAAGGAUUUGGAGACAAUGACGCCCUUCGGGGUCUCUGUGAAGGUGCUGCAUGGUUGUCGUCAGCUCGUGCCGUGAGGUGUCGGCUUAAGUGCCAUAACGAGCGCAACCCCUCUCCUUAGUUGCCAUCAGGUCAGGCUGGGCACUCUGGGGAUACUGCCACCGUAAGGUGUGAGGAAGGUGGGGAUGACGUCAAAUCAGCACGGCCCUUACGUCCGGGGCUACACACGUGUUACAAUGGCAGGUACAGAGAGAUGGUGUUCUGCAAAGCGCAUCUAGUCCUUAAAGCCUGUCUCAGUUCGGACUGGGGUCUGCAACCCGACCCCACGAAGCUGGAUUCGCUAG
This 779-nucleotide ribosomal RNA is filed under the name uncultured Bacteroidota bacterium. RNAcentral describes it as "bacterial SSU rRNA". It matches the Rfam family "Bacterial small subunit ribosomal RNA", at positions 555 to 1338 of the family's 1533-position model. The record is from RNAcentral. Lineage: Bacteria; Pseudomonadati; Bacteroidota.